GAUGAACGCUGGCGGCGUGCCUAACACAUGCAAGUCGAACGUGAGGGGCGUUUUCGGAUGCCCUGAAAGUGGCGAACGGGUGAGUAACACGUAGAUAACCUGCCCUGGAGUGGGGGAUAACCACUGGAAACGGUGGCUAAUACCGCAUAGGCCCUUGAAGUCGGGAGGCUUCGAGGGGAAAGCUCCGGCGCUUCAGGAGGGGUCUGCGUCCGAUUAGCUAGUUGGCGGGGUAACGGCCCACCAAGGCGACGAUCGGUAGCUGGUCUGAGAGGACGAUCAGCCACACGGGAACUGAGACACGGUCCCGACUCCUACGGGGGGCAGCAGUGAGGAAUAUUGGGCAAUGGGCGCAAGCCUGACCCAGCAACGCCGCGUGGAGGAAGAAGGGCCUUCGGGGUUGUAAACUCCUUUUGCNGGGGGAAGAGAGAGGGACGGGUACCUGGCGAAUCAGUCACGGGCUAACUACGUGCCAGCA
RNAcentral lists this ribosomal RNA (475 nucleotides) under uncultured bacterium. RNAcentral describes it as "bacterial SSU rRNA". It matches the Rfam family "Bacterial small subunit ribosomal RNA", at positions 28 to 513 of the family's 1533-position model. The record is from RNAcentral.